This 254-nucleotide ribosomal RNA is filed under the name uncultured bacterium. RNAcentral's name for it is "partial 16S ribosomal RNA". It matches the Rfam family "Bacterial small subunit ribosomal RNA", at positions 524 to 776 of the family's 1533-position model. The record is from RNAcentral.
UACGUAGGGGGCGAGCGUUGUCCGGAUUUAUUGGGCGGAAAGAGCUCGUAGGCGGUUUGGUAAGUUGGAUGUGAAAUCUCCAGGCUCAACUUGGAGGGGUCAUUCGAUACUGCCAUGACUAGAGUCCGGGAGAGGUGAGUGGAAUUCCCAGUGUAGCGGUGGAAUGCGUAGAUAUUGGGAGGAACACCAGUGGCGAAGGCGGCUCACUGGACCGGAACUGACGCUGAGGCGCGAAAGCGUGGGGAGCAAACGGG